This 1368-nucleotide ribosomal RNA is filed under the name Hapalidiaceae sp. ASG448A. Its description in RNAcentral is "SSU rRNA". It matches the Rfam family "Eukaryotic small subunit ribosomal RNA", at positions 203 to 1622 of the family's 1831-position model. The record is from RNAcentral. Lineage: Eukaryota; Rhodophyta; Florideophyceae; Hapalidiales; Hapalidiaceae.
CCAAUUAGAUAACAACACCAACAUAUGGUGAUUCAUAAUUUUCUUUCUGAUCGCUGAUUAUCAGCGACGCAUCGUUCAAAUUUCUGACCUAUCAACUUUAGAUGUUAAGGUAGUGUCUUAACAUGGUGGCAACGGGUAACGGACCGUGGGUGCGGGACUCCGGAGAGGGAGCCGAGAAACGGCUACCACAUCCAAGGAAGGCAGCAGGCGCGCAAAUUACCCAAUUCGGACUCCGAGAGGUAGUGACAAGAAAUAUCAAUAGGGGACCCUAUGGGUCUUCUAAUUGGAAUGAGUACAAGCUAAACAGCUUAACGAGAAUCCAGCAGAGGGCAAGUCUGGUGCCAGCAGCCGCGGUAAUUCCAGCUCUGUAAGCGUAUAUCAAAGUUGUUGCAGUUAAAACGCUCGUAGUCGGAUUUUGGUAGUUCCGGGAGUGUGCGCGUCGUGCGCGCGCUCUGCAGGGGCUGCUUUUGUGGAUCUGCGUAGGAUGAGGCAACUUUAUUGUUGAACGUCUUUUGCAACCACCUUUUACUGUGAAAAAAUUAAAGUGUUCAAAGCAGGCAUUUGUCGUGAAUACAUUAGCAUGGAAUAAUGGAAUAGGACUUGGUUUUAUUUUGUUGGUUUGUUAUGGCCGAGUAAUGAUUAAAAGGGACAGUUGGGGGCAUUUGUAUUUCGGGGCCAGAGGUGAAAUUCUUAGAUCCCCGAAAGACAAACCGCUGCGAAAGCGUCUGCCAAGGAUGUUUUCAUUGAUCAAGAACGAAAGUAAGGGGAUCGAAGACGAUCAGAUACCGUCGUAGUCUUUACUAUAAACGAUGAGGACUGGGGAUCGGGCGAGGAAUUGCGAUGACCCGCCCGGCACCCUCCGGGAAACCAAAGUGUUUGCUUUCUGGGGGGAGUAUGGUCGCAAGGCUGAAACUUAAAGGAAUUGACGGAAGGGCAUCACCGGGUGUGGAGCCUGCGGCUUAAUUUGACUCAACACGGGAAAACUUACCAGGUCAGGACAUAGUGAGGAUUGACAGAUUGAGAGCUCUUUCUUGAUUCUAUGGUUGGUGGUGCAUGGCCGUUCUUAGUUGGUGGAGUGAUUUGUCUGGUUAAUUCCGUUAACGAGCGAGACCUGGGCGUGCUAAAUAGGGGCUACUACCAUUUUGGUAGUGCGUUAUCUCUUCUUAGACGGACUGCGGGUGUCUAAUCCGCGGAAGCUCCAGGCAAUAACAGGUCUGAGAUGCCCUUAGAUGUUCUGGGCCGCACGCGUGCUACACUGAGUGGAUCAGCGGGUCAGGUUGUGCGAAAGCAUUUCCUAAUCUUUAAAUCCGCUCGUGAUGGGGAUUGAGGGUUGCAAUUUUCCCUCAUGAACGAGGAAUACCUGUAAGC